This 524-nucleotide ribosomal RNA is filed under the name uncultured bacterium. RNAcentral describes it as "partial 16S ribosomal RNA". It matches the Rfam family "Bacterial small subunit ribosomal RNA", at positions 28 to 523 of the family's 1533-position model. The record is from RNAcentral.
GACGAACGCUGGCGGCGUGCUUAACACAUGCAAGUCGAACGAGACGAUUGAAAGCUUGCUUUUAAAAGUCGAGUGGCAAACGGGUGAGUAACGCGUAGACAACCUGCCUUUGAGAUGGGGACAACAGUUCGAAAGGACUGCUAAUACCGAAUGUUGUAUAUUUUCCACAUGGAAGAUAUAUUAAAGAUGGCCUCUAUUUAUAUGCUAUCGCUCAAAGAUGGGUCUGCGUCUGAUUAGCUAGUUGGUGGGGUAACGGCCUACCAAGGCGACGCUCGGUAGCCGGUCUGAGAGGAUGAACGGCCACAUUGGGACUGAGACACGGCCCAGACUCCUACGGGAGGCAGCAGUGGGGAAUCUUCCACAAUGGACGAAAGUCUGAUGGAGCAACGCCGCGUGAGUGAAGAAGGGUUUCGGCUCGUAAAGCUCUGUUGUCGGGGACGAAUGUGCAGUAUUUGAAUAAAGUACUGCAAUGACGGUACCUGACGAGGAAGCCACGGCUAACUACGUGCCAGCAGCCGCGGUAA